GCCUCUGCGGCAGUUUCCUGAUCUUCUGGAUAUGCUGCCACGCUGUCCCAGGGCUGGUGGUGUCCCCUGACUUGUUCCUCUCCUGACUUUCUCAGCCUGGAGACUGAAAGCUCUCUUUGGCUGUUGGCCCUCCCAGGCAGAGUCCACUGGCUGUUAGGGUGAAAUGGGGCUGAUGCUUCCUGGAAUCCACCAGAAGUAUGCAAAUUGCACCAUCUCUUUCAGCUGCCUGCGCCUGCAUUCCAUCGAGGAUUCCGGCUCGUCCCCCAGUGGCAACAACUAGAGAGGAGGUGAGGAUCCCCGGCGCUGCCAUCUGAUAGGCUGUCUCCCUAGCUCCUCUUGCACUGGCAAUCCUUUCAUCACACAGGCCUUGUUUUGAAGGGACCUAUUCCACCCACAGUCGUUUCUCACCUCUAGGAGGCCAAAAAGCUGUAGUCAUUGCUGUGGUAUCAGGAACUCGAGUUCCUCUCAGAGGUGUUGUGAAGAGCUUCCCUUCCAACAGUACAUGGCCUAAAUACCAGGGAGGAAGUUUCUGACUUUUUCCAUCUUCAGUAAAACAGAACCUCUGUUGUGGAUGCAGUGGCUUUGCAAGGAGAGUGGCAUUGUCUCUUGGUGAAUGUAGUUGUUCAAGUCAUGGGGAGGAGGCAGGUUUAGUUUUGAUGCAUAUAUUUUCACUAUUAGUUCUCAAUAGUGAAAAUCUUAAUUCACAGAUGAGCCAAGAUAGAAGGGCAUCUUCCCAACAUAAAUGAGACACAAAGACAAUGUGGGUAAAAGUGAAAUCAGCUUUAUUGUGAAACUGUAAUCAAAGAAGAACUGGCUAUUGGUGCUACCACCUGGAUUCAAGAAGAUGGACAAAGUGACCUCAGAAUCAACCCACAAGUACUUACUGACCACCCACAGUUUGUCAGGUACUCUCUAUCCUAAGUCUGUUUCCUCUAGAGCUGUGCUGUUACUCUAGAGCAGGGACCAGCAAACUAUGGCUCUUGGGCCAAAUCUAGCCACCUGCUUCAGUCAAUAAAGUUUUAUUAGAAUGUA
Molecule: long non-coding RNA, 1032 nt
Filed under: Homo sapiens (human)
Lineage: Eukaryota; Metazoa; Chordata; Mammalia; Primates; Hominidae
Description: long intergenic non-protein coding RNA 2884
Source: RNAcentral